CCUAUCAAGCGCUAUGUCAGA
Molecule: unclassified non-coding RNA, 21 nt
Filed under: Dictyostelium discoideum
Lineage: Eukaryota; Evosea; Eumycetozoa; Dictyosteliales; Dictyosteliaceae
Source: RNAcentral